Molecule: unclassified non-coding RNA, 200 nt
Filed under: Penicillium sp.
Lineage: Eukaryota; Fungi; Ascomycota; Eurotiomycetes; Eurotiales; Aspergillaceae
Description: partial internal transcribed spacer 2
Source: RNAcentral
UUAAGUUCAGCGGGUAACUCCUACCUGAUCCGAGGUCAACCGUGGAAAAAAUCGUGGAUGACCAACACCCGUCGGCCCCUCCCAAGCAGGUGACAAAGCCCCAUACGCUUGAGGACCGAGGCGGGCGUCGCCGCUGCCUUUCGGGCAAGUCCCCCCUGUAGCAGGGGGACCACACCCAACACACAAGCCGUGCUUGAGGG